Molecule: ribosomal RNA, 252 nt
Filed under: uncultured bacterium
Lineage: Bacteria
Description: partial 16S ribosomal RNA
Rfam family: Bacterial small subunit ribosomal RNA
Source: RNAcentral
UACGUAGGUCCCGAGCGUUGUCCGGAUUUAUUGGGCGUAAAGCGAGCGCAGGUGGUUUAUUAAGUCUGGUGUAAAAGGCAGUGGCUCAACCAUUGUAUGCAUUGGAAACUGGUAGACUUGAGUGCAGGAGAGGAGAGUGGAAUUCCAUGUGUAGCGGUGAAAUGCGUAGAUAUAUGGAGGAACGCCGGUGGCGAAAGCGGCUCUCUGGCCUGUAACUGACACUGAGGCUCGAAAGCGUGGGGAGCGAACAGG